ACCCAGGUGUUGGGUUUGGGGAAUGACAAUGAUAACAUGUAUAAAAGAUCAGAUGAAGUAACUUGUCCAAAGCUGAGCAUUUGAAGAAGCAGGAACCAUCAACAUUAAUAUGAGUGAAGAAUAUUGAUGAAAUCCCAUCGCUGUGCAUGUAAUUGUUGAAAGAUGUGAAGAAGGAAAUGUCAGUUGCUGAAGAUGACCAAUUGCAGUUGUUAUCCCCUUGAAGAUUUGUGAUGCCUUUACCAUGCAAACUCACUCUGAAGCAUGAAUGAUACAUUUGAGU
RNAcentral lists this long non-coding RNA (280 nucleotides) under Elaeis guineensis (African oil palm). Its description in RNAcentral is "long non-coding RNA (EGUI_LNC080240)". The record is from RNAcentral. Lineage: Eukaryota; Viridiplantae; Streptophyta; Magnoliopsida; Arecales; Arecaceae.